Molecule: small nucleolar RNA, 105 nt
Organism: Populus nigra (black poplar)
Lineage: Eukaryota; Viridiplantae; Streptophyta; Magnoliopsida; Malpighiales; Salicaceae
Source: RefSeq, a predicted model, not a curated record
AUCUAAUGAUGAGCGCAUUGAAUGAACAAUUGCUCAAAUCUUUCCCAAUACUCAGAGAGUCUCCCCAUGAGAUUGCCUAAUCCCAGAUAUUUCUCUUCUUAUGUU